Molecule: long non-coding RNA, 1059 nt
Organism: Cydia strobilella
Lineage: Eukaryota; Metazoa; Arthropoda; Insecta; Lepidoptera; Tortricidae
Exons: 2
Source: RefSeq, a predicted model, not a curated record
GCCGGGGUUGGUACCCGCGACCUCGAUUGCAAAUCGCACGCUAUUACUGCUAGGCCACCAGCGCUUAAUGGCAUCAAUGUCAUAUUUUAUUAUCAGUGAAAAGUUGUCAUAAAACAGUUUAAGGCACAGUACGUAUAAGUUAUUAUAUGGUUUACUAUAGGUGCUAGUGCUGCACUCUGGCGGCAGAACAUUGCUGUAAUACCCUCUAUUUAAAAAAUAAUAUGAAUUUCAUUUAACUGAAUAAGUACUAGAGCUAUGUAUUAUACAUAUAGGACCGUCACAGGACAGAGUAGUUUGACGGUUCAUGACAUGUAAUGCACGGACAGUAAGUGUUAAAAUAGGUGACUGAAAAAAUCGGAGGGUAUAAACUCGUAUCCAGCCAGAUUUAGAAAGAGUGAAUUGACAGUGUAUUUCAUGAGACUAUGACAGUGUAUUUCAUGAGAUUAUGGCAUUAUAUUGAUUUGUAUGACUAAAAAUGGUUUUUGUUUACGUGACUUGUCAACCUUAUUUUUAAAUAAUAAUAAAAAUACUGUCAGUACAGUCUUCCUAAUUCUAAAUAUCAGUAUAGCUAAAUAGGGUAAAUCAUCAAUUACUAGCCAACUUAUACUAAAAAUAAAUUAUAUUCACCUAUAAACAGAAUUUAUUUUAGUAUACGGUGGCUAGUUAUUGGAGGGUGGCCAGUUAUUGACACCUUAUACUAAAAAUGAAUUCUGUUUUUAGAUGAAUAGAAUUCAUUUUUAGUAUAAGGUGGUCAGUUAUUAAACAGUGUCCAGUAAUUGACGAUUUACCCUAUAAUGCUCUGAAGGUUCUUCGAUUUAUAUAAAUAUCUACAUUUAGGUUAUAUUGUUAUAAUAGGUGUCAGAAUUUUCCUCCUGCCUGCGACAAAAGACUGUUAAAAUGGAUGUAUAAUUUAAAUUUUGAUACGUUUUUGAUUGCAUCGUGUAGCCGGUUGUGAAUAUUAGCCAUAUCGUACUCAGCUCCUACUUGUACUCGCAAUGUUAAACAUUGUAAUGUGAAUAAUCAUUUAUAUGUUAAUUAUUAUAUUAUGUUAUGAAGUGA